Molecule: ribosomal RNA, 589 nt
Filed under: Carabus nodulosus nodulosus
Lineage: Eukaryota; Metazoa; Arthropoda; Insecta; Coleoptera; Carabidae
Description: eukaryotic LSU rRNA
Rfam family: Eukaryotic large subunit ribosomal RNA
Source: RNAcentral
AACCUAAAGGCGCAAUGAAAGUGAAAGUCUGUUUACGCGGACUUAGGGAGGAUAGGUGUCCGGACAUACUCUAUGUAUGUUACAGUCCUCGCACUCCCGGGGCGUCUCGCACUCAUUGCGAGGUGGGGCGCACCAAGAGCGUACACGCUGGGACCCGAAAGAUGGUGAACUAUGCCUGGUCAGGACGAAGUCAGGGGAAACCCUGAUGGAGGUCCGUAGCGAUUCUGACGUGCAAAUCGAUCGUCGGAACUGGGCUUAGGGGCGAAAGACUAAUCGAACCAUCUAGUAGCUGGUUCCCACCGAAGUUUCCCUCAGGAUAGCUGGCAUUAGAUUAUGGAUGAGUCUCAUCCGGUAAAGCGAAUGAUUAGAGGCAUUGGGGUCGAAACGGCCUCAACCUAUUCUCAAACUUUAAAUGGGUGAGAUCUCCGGCUUGCUCGAUUUAUGAAGCCGGAGAUCGGAUCAAUUAGUGCCAAGUGGGCCACUUUUGGUAAGCAGAACUGGCGCUGUGGGAUGAACCAAACGCAGAGUUAAAGCGCCAAAAUCGACGCUUAUGGGAUACCAUGAAAGGCGUUGGUAACUUAAGACAGCA